UUGUUUCGAGGCUGGUAGGCCUGCUGUUGUGGACGAUGUUGUUGUUGAUAUUGUUGAUGUUGUUGUUGAUGAUGAUGAUGUUGAACUUCUCUAAAGGCAGGUGCUAUAUGAGCCACCUGGUGUUGGCUGACGGCGAGACGCACGUUCUUCCUCUUCACAGAGGGUCUUCUUUUGAUAUAGGAAGACACAGCAUGUGCCUCUCCCUCCUUCUUUU
RNAcentral lists this long non-coding RNA (214 nucleotides) under Lathyrus oleraceus (garden pea). Its description in RNAcentral is "Pisum sativum (pea) long non-coding RNA (PSAT_LNC033242)". The record is from RNAcentral. Lineage: Eukaryota; Viridiplantae; Streptophyta; Magnoliopsida; Fabales; Fabaceae.